GGCCCCAUCGUCUAGCCUGGUCUAGGACAUCAGAUUCUCAAUCUGGUAACACCGGUUCAAAUCCGGUUGGGGCCA
This 75-nucleotide transfer RNA is filed under the name bacterium. RNAcentral describes it as "tRNA-Glu". It matches the Rfam family "tRNA". From Rfam's summary of the family: Transfer RNA (tRNA) molecules are approximately 80 nucleotides in length. Their secondary structure includes four short double-helical elements and three loops (D, anti-codon, and T loops). Further hydrogen bonds mediate the characteristic L-shaped molecular structure. tRNAs have two regions of fundamental functional importance: the anti-codon, which is responsible for specific mRNA codon recognition, and the 3' end, to which the tRNAs corresponding amino acid is attached (by aminoacyl-tRNA synthetases). tRNAs cope with the degeneracy of the genetic code in two manners: having more than one tRNA (with a specific anti-codon) for a particular amino acid; and 'wobble' base-pairing, i.e. permitting non-standard base-pairing at the 3rd anti-codon position. The record is from RNAcentral. RNAcentral also lists the same sequence under 1 other name.